Molecule: small nuclear RNA, 104 nt
Organism: Lactuca sativa (garden lettuce)
Lineage: Eukaryota; Viridiplantae; Streptophyta; Magnoliopsida; Asterales; Asteraceae
Source: RefSeq, a predicted model, not a curated record
GUUAGUAUCAGGGACAUCUGAUAAAAUUGAAACGGUAUAGAGAAGAUUAGCAUUGACCUUGCACAAGGAUGACAUGCAAAAAUCAAAAAAUGGUAUCAGAGCCA